Long non-coding RNA from Ooceraea biroi (clonal raider ant), 1415 nucleotides. RefSeq annotates it as protein dopey homolog PFC0245c. Lineage: Eukaryota; Metazoa; Arthropoda; Insecta; Hymenoptera; Formicidae. The record is from RefSeq and is a predicted model, not a curated record.
AAAAUGUAAUUAUUGGUUUAAAAGCUUUUUUGUUAAGAAAAUUAUUUAAAAAACUCACUUUGCUUUUAGCUGCAGCUACAUAAAUUUUCUACAUAUAUAACACACAUGUACCAUAAUAUCGUACUAUAGUACAUUAAUAUUUUUACUCUUUGCGCUACUCUUUCUGUACUCACAAGCGAAGAUGUCCGAACGACCGAAGCGAGUUGCCUCGAAACCAUCACGAUACGUCACGACGUCGGAUGAGGCUCCUCGGAAGCGGAAAAAGGUCAACGCCCCAGCAAUCAGCGCUGAAGAUGUCCAGGGUGACGUCCAGGACAUAAGGAUGAGUCUUCAAAACAAUCCUAAUUAUUUUAAUAAUAAUAAUAACAAUAAUUAUUCAACACAUUCAUCAUCGCACAUAUACAUUCCACCAGACCAAAACAUUCAAUCAAACAUUCAGUCACCCGUAGCCGUGCAAUCAAACACUCAAUCGGACACGAACAAUCAAAUACAUAUGCGCACUGAAUCAUACAUAAACCUUCAACCAAGCUCAUUAUCAUCUCAUAACACUCACGCAUUACAAGCAACACAAUCACUCACACAAAACUCACUAUCUCAUAGCACUCACGCGUUACACGCGACACAAUCAUUCCACACAAAACUCACAAUCUCAUAACACUCACGCAUUACCACCACUCACACAAAAUUAUGAUGCACCUCGCGUCGAAAGGCUAAGCUACGCCGAUAAUAAUUUUGUAGAAUUGCAGAACCAACGUGGAAAUUCCAGGGAUGUAUCUUCUCGAAAUUGGGACAACGAUAUUGGAGGAGCGACGGCAUAUGAUUAUCCAUCAAUACCACAUUCAUCAUCGGCACAUCAUUUGACGCAAUUAGAAAAGCCGGACAAUCAACGAGUAAAUUCCACCAUGGAAAAAAUUUUGAGAUGCGUCCAGGAUCACCAUCGCGCACCACAGAAGCCGGCCAUCUUCCCUAUACGAUCACUUCCAGACAUGGAUGCGUUUGAAGGAAGCAACGAGGAUGAAUAUUCCAAUGCCGUAAAUUAUUUCCGACACAUUGGCGGCUUUAAUUUAAGAGAAGCUGUAAAUAUCUGCCUGAAGGAAAGUUUGAAGGAUGCCAUCGCACCGUCGUUUACAUGGUGGGGCCGUCAAGAACAUCGACCACUAUGUAACACUCGUCUGAUUAGGGCGAUUUACGAUGGUGUAUGUCAAAACAAAAAUUUCGAGAAACCGACGCGCUCCGAAUUCCAAGCGCAAAUGCGCGAGGCUUUGAGAAUGUCCAAGGAGAGACAUAGGAGCAGAUCGCGCAAGAAGACCGUUCCUCACGGUGACGGCGCAAGGAUUCAGCGUACUUUACGGGACGACGAGCGAUCGAACGAAAGCGGAGACAUGGAAUCUAUUAACGACGACGAGCAGGCAUAA